Molecule: transfer RNA, 71 nt
Filed under: Passerina amoena
Lineage: Eukaryota; Metazoa; Chordata; Aves; Passeriformes; Cardinalidae
Description: tRNA-Asn
Rfam family: tRNA
About the family: Transfer RNA (tRNA) molecules are approximately 80 nucleotides in length. Their secondary structure includes four short double-helical elements and three loops (D, anti-codon, and T loops).
Source: RNAcentral
AGGCAGAGGCCUGUUGGUUAAGGCAUAUAGCUGUUAACUAUAGAAUCAUGGGAUCGAAGCCCAUCUGCCUA